GAGAGCGGAUGUGGUCCGGGUGGCUGUCCUGGUCUUCAAAAUCAGUGGGCGGGGUGACGAGCCGCGCCGGUGGGUUCGACUCCCACACGCUCUCGC
This 96-nucleotide transfer RNA is filed under the name Chloroflexaceae bacterium. RNAcentral describes it as "tRNA-Sec". It matches the Rfam family "Selenocysteine transfer RNA". The record is from RNAcentral. Lineage: Bacteria; Bacillati; Chloroflexota; Chloroflexia; Chloroflexales; Chloroflexaceae.